GACGAACGCUGGCGGCGUGCUUAACACAUGCAAGUCGAACGGAAAGGCCCUGCUUUUGUGGGGUGCUCGAGUGGCGAACGGGUGAGUACCACGUGAGUAACCUGCCCUUGACUUUGGGAUAACUUCAGGAAACUGGGGCUAAUACCGGAUAGGAGCUCCUGCUGCAUGGUGGGGGUUGGAAAGUUUCGGCGGUUGGGGAUGGACUCGCGGCCUAUCAGCUUGUUGGUGGGGUAGUGGCUUACCAAGGCUUUGACGGGUAGCCGGCCUGAGAGGGUGACCGGCCACAUUGGGACUGAGAUACGGCCCAGACUCCUACGGGAGGCAGCAGUGGGGAAUAUUGCACAAUGGGCGGAAGCCUGAUGCAGCAACGCCGCGUGCGGGAUGACGGCCUUCGGGUUGUAAACCGCUUUCGCCUGUGACGAAGCGUGAGUGACGGUAAUGGGUAAAGAAGCACCGGCUAACUACGUG
This 468-nucleotide ribosomal RNA is filed under the name uncultured bacterium. RNAcentral describes it as "partial 16S ribosomal RNA". It matches the Rfam family "Bacterial small subunit ribosomal RNA", at positions 28 to 507 of the family's 1533-position model. The record is from RNAcentral.